AAGAUUGUGGUCGACACGCAAUUGCGGCAAUUCGAAGUUGGAUGCGCUCCGCGGGGCCAGCGAACCGAGGCAAAAGCCAAGCUAAACGCUUAGAAGCCCCUCUCCACCAGUUGCUCCUCUUGCUACCCCAGGAACUCACAUCCGCCGCAGUAUGGAGGCAAGUUUCUUGCGGCAGCGACAACUGGCAACCUGCCACUUGUGACUGGCAAGCAGCAACUUUGGAGCACUGAGAAAACUAGAGAUAGACUA
Non-coding RNA from Drosophila melanogaster (fruit fly), 249 nucleotides. NCBI's taxonomy places the organism in Eukaryota, Metazoa, Arthropoda, Insecta, Diptera, Drosophilidae. The record is from Ensembl.